CGGACGGGUGAGUAAUGUCUGGGAAACUGCCUGAUGGAGGGGGAUAACUACUGGAAACGGUAGCUAAUACCGCAUAACGUCGCAAGACCAAAGAGGGGGACCUUCGGGCCUCUUGCCAUCGGAUGUGCCCAGAUGGGAUUAGCUAGUAGGUGGGGUAACGGGCUCACCUAGGCGACGAUCCCUAGCUGGUCUGAGAGGAUGACCAGCCACACUGGAACUGAGACACGGUCCAGACUCCUACGGGAGGCAGCAUG
RNAcentral lists this ribosomal RNA (254 nucleotides) under uncultured bacterium. RNAcentral's name for it is "partial 16S ribosomal RNA". It matches the Rfam family "Bacterial small subunit ribosomal RNA", at positions 99 to 353 of the family's 1533-position model. The record is from RNAcentral.